Molecule: ribosomal RNA, 257 nt
Filed under: uncultured bacterium
Lineage: Bacteria
Description: partial 16S ribosomal RNA
Rfam family: Bacterial small subunit ribosomal RNA
Source: RNAcentral
GUCCACGCCGUAAACGAUGGAUACUAGCUGUUGGGAGCAAUCUCAGUGGCUAAGCGAAAGUGAUAAGUAUCCCACCUGGGGAGUACGUUCGCAAAGAAUGAAACUCAAAGGAAUUGACGGGGGCCCCGCACAAGCGGUGGAGCAUGUGGUUUAAUUCGAUGAUACGCGAGGAACCUUACCAAGGCUUAAAUGUAGUCUGACAGAUUUGGAAACAGAUUUUUCUUCGGACAGAUUACAAGGUGCUGCAUGGUUGUCGU